GAUGAACGCUGGCGGCGUGCCUAAUACAUGCAAGUAGAACGCUGAAGGAAGGAGCUUGCUCUUUCCGGAUGAGUUGCGAACGGGUGAGUAACGCGUAGGUAACCUGCCUGGUAGCGGGGGAUAACUAUUGGAAACGAUAGCUAAUACCGCAUAACAGUAGAUGUUGCAUGAUAUCUACUUAAGAGGUGCAAUUGCACCACUACCAGAUGGACCUGCGUUGUAUUAGCUAGUUGGUGAGGUAACGGCUCACCAAGGCGACGAUACAUAGCCGACCUGAGAGGGUGAUCGGCCACACUGGGACUGAGACACGGCCCAGACUCCUACGGGAGGCAGCAGUAGGGAAUCUUCGGCAAUGGACGGAAGUCUGACCGAGCAACGCCGCGUGAGUGAAGAAGGUUUUCGGAUCGUAAAGCUCUGUUGUAAGAGAAGAACGAGUGUGAGAGUGGAAAGUUCACACUGUGACGGUAUCUUACCAGAAAGGGACGGCUAACUACGUG
RNAcentral lists this ribosomal RNA (497 nucleotides) under uncultured bacterium. RNAcentral's name for it is "partial 16S ribosomal RNA". It matches the Rfam family "Bacterial small subunit ribosomal RNA", at positions 28 to 507 of the family's 1533-position model. The record is from RNAcentral.